This 498-nucleotide ribosomal RNA is filed under the name uncultured bacterium. RNAcentral describes it as "partial 16S ribosomal RNA". It matches the Rfam family "Bacterial small subunit ribosomal RNA", at positions 30 to 523 of the family's 1533-position model. The record is from RNAcentral.
AUUGAACGCUGGCGGCAUGCCUUACACAUGCAAGUCGAACGGUAACAGGUCUUCGGAUGCUGACGAGUGGCGAACGGGUGAGUAAUACAUCGGAACGUGCCUAGUAGUGGGGGAUAACUACUCGAAAGAGUGGCUAAUACCGCAUGAGAUCUACGGAUGAAAGCAGGGGAUCGCAAGACCUUGUGCUACUAGAGCGGCCGAUGGCAGAUUAGGUAGUUGGUGGGAUAAAAGCUUACCAAGCCGACUAUCUGUAGCUGGUCUGAGCGGGAGAGCGACCAUAGAGCGGCUGAGAAACUGCACAGAUUAAUACUGGAGGAAUCAGUGGGGAAUUUUGGACAAUGGGCGUCAGCGUGCUCCAGCAAUGCCGCGUGGAGGAUGGAGGCCUUCGGGUUGUAAAUUGCUUUUUUACGGAACGAAAAGCACCCGGUUAAUACCCUGGGGUCAUGACGGUACCGUAAGAAUAAGCAUCGGCUAACUACGUGCCAGCCGCCGCAGUAA